This is a non-coding RNA of Pteropus alecto (black flying fox), 73 nucleotides long. NCBI's taxonomy places the organism in Eukaryota, Metazoa, Chordata, Mammalia, Chiroptera, Pteropodidae. The record is from Rfam.
GGUUCCAUAGUAUAGUGGUUAGCACGUCUACUUUACACGCAGAAGGUCCUGGGUUCAUGGCCCAGUGGAGCCA